GGAAUCUUAGACAAUGGGCGCAAGCCUGAUCUAGCCAUCCCGCGUGCAGGAUGACGGCCCUAUGGGUUGUAAACUGCUUUUAGAUAGGAAGAAAUCACUUGAUUUAUUGAGUGUUGACGGUACUAUCAGAAUAAGCACCGGCUAACUCCGUGCCAGCAGCCGCGGUAAUACGGAGGGUGCAAGCGUUAUCCGGAAUUACUGGGUUUAAAGGGUGCGUAGGCGGCCUUAUAAGUCAGGCGUGAAAUUUAUAUGCUUAACAUAGGAAUUGCGUUUGAUACUGUGAGGCUGGAAUCAGGAUGAGGUAAGCGGAAUGUGGCAAGUAGCGGUGAAAUGCAUAGAUAUGCCAUAGAACACCAAUUGCGAAGGCAGCUUACUAGACCUAGAUUGACGCUGAGGCACGAAAGCGUGGGGAGCG
This 415-nucleotide ribosomal RNA is filed under the name uncultured bacterium. Its description in RNAcentral is "bacterial SSU rRNA". It matches the Rfam family "Bacterial small subunit ribosomal RNA", at positions 358 to 770 of the family's 1533-position model. The record is from RNAcentral.